GACGUAGGAGGCGAGCGUUAUCCGGAUUUAUUGGGCGUAAAGGGCAAGUAGGCGGUUGUCAAAGUUGGGCGUGACAACUCCCGGCUCAACUGGGAGGGUGCGUUCAAAACUAGGCAACUAGAGGGCAGGAGAGGGAAGUGGAAUUCCCAGUGUAGCGGUGGAAUGCUCAGAUAUUGGGAAGAACACCAGUGGCGAAGGCGGCUUCCUGGCCUGCACCUGACGCUGAGAGGCGAAAGCUAGGGUAGCAAACGGGCUUAGAUACCCCUGUAGUCCCUGAG
This 278-nucleotide ribosomal RNA is filed under the name uncultured prokaryote. RNAcentral describes it as "partial 16S ribosomal RNA". It matches the Rfam family "Bacterial small subunit ribosomal RNA", at positions 524 to 801 of the family's 1533-position model. The record is from RNAcentral.